GGAUGUCUUGGCUCCCACAACGAUGAAGAACGCAGCGAAAUGCGAUACGUCUUGCGACUUGCAGAAUCCAGUGAAUCAUCAAAACUUUGAACGCACCUUGCGCUUCCGGGAUACUCCUGGGAGCAUGCUUGUCGGAGUGUCUGUU
RNAcentral lists this ribosomal RNA (145 nucleotides) under Saccharina sessilis. Its description in RNAcentral is "partial 5.8S ribosomal RNA". It matches the Rfam family "5.8S ribosomal RNA". Rfam says of the family: 5.8S ribosomal RNA (5.8S rRNA) is a component of the large subunit of the eukaryotic ribosome. It is transcribed by RNA polymerase I as part of the 45S precursor that also contains 18S and 28S rRNA. Lineage: Eukaryota; Phaeophyceae; Laminariales; Laminariaceae. The record is from RNAcentral.